UACGUAGGGGGCGAGCGUUGUCCGGAAUCAUUGGGCGUAAAGCGCGUGUAGGCGGCUUGGUAAGUCUGGUGUGAAAUCCUGGGGCUUAACCCCGGACCUGCACUGGAUACUGCCAAGCUUGAGUCCGGGAGGGGAGAGCGGAAUUCCUAGUGUAGCGGUGAAAUGCGCAGAUAUUAGGAAGAACACCGGUGGCGAAGGCGGCUCUCUGGAACGGUACUGACGCUGAGACGCGAAAGCGUGGGGAGCGAACAGGAUUAGAUA
Molecule: ribosomal RNA, 261 nt
Filed under: uncultured bacterium
Lineage: Bacteria
Description: partial 16S ribosomal RNA
Rfam family: Bacterial small subunit ribosomal RNA
Source: RNAcentral